Molecule: long non-coding RNA, 319 nt
Organism: Pogoniulus pusillus (Red-fronted tinkerbird)
Lineage: Eukaryota; Metazoa; Chordata; Aves; Piciformes; Lybiidae
Exons: 2
Source: RefSeq, a predicted model, not a curated record
GAGCAGCACAGCCCAGGAGCAAGCCAGGAGCACUGCAGCCCUUCAUAAAGACCUGCAAGCUGCUGCCUCGGGCUCUGGUUUCCUUCUCUCUCUCCCCUUGAGCUCACUCUGUCUCAAAGCAGGGCAGUACCCAGCGCCAAGGCAGAUGUUCACCCCCAGGAGGUCAGCCAGAGCUCACCUUGCCAUCCCCACCUGUGCUGGAGACUGUUCUCAGCGUAGCUGCACUCAGCGGAGUAGCCUUCCCCAUCGGGAGCCUUCCAGCCCAUGGCACACUCCUGCUGCUGCGUGUCUGAGGGGCAGCCAGCACUGAGCACACCUU